UUCUGUUUCAGUUCUUUGACCAUUUGCUGGCUGGCAUAGAAGAUAUAUCAGGACACUGGGGACAAUAUUACUGGAAAGACAAAUUAGAAUAUUUCAAUAGUAGAUACCUUCAGAAGAUUUUGCUCAGAGAAUAUGACCAGCCCAAAUCAAGCAUUGUCCUUCUUUAUGAAAAACUUGAGAGAAAACACGCCAUUGAACUAGCAGAAGCAGGCCAGUUAAUACAUACGCCAUCUAGUACAUCUUUGCUCCGCAGCCGUGAGACAGCCAUGUCAAUUCAAUCUCCAGAACCUACAAAUCAGGACCUCCUGGAUAAUAUUCAAGA
This is a long non-coding RNA of Ochotona princeps (American pika), 322 nucleotides long. RefSeq lists it as uncharacterized. The transcript is spliced from 3 exons. Lineage: Eukaryota; Metazoa; Chordata; Mammalia; Lagomorpha; Ochotonidae. The record is from RefSeq and is a predicted model, not a curated record.